AAUAAAUACAGCCAUGAGUUUUCACACCUAACUUUAACCAUCCGUUUUAUUUGAAUUUUUUUAUAAUUAACAUUUUUGUUGUUAUGAAAUGAUAAAAUAUAAAUAGUACUUUGCUCGUGACUUAUGUUUUAAAUUUUUUUAAGAAAAAUUUAAAUAAGACGAACGAUCAAAAUUGAACGUGAAAAAUUAUGGCUGUAUUUAUU
This 203-nucleotide microRNA precursor is filed under the name Oryza sativa Japonica Group (Japanese rice). RNAcentral's name for it is "MIR812 microRNA precursor family". It matches the Rfam family "MIR812 microRNA precursor family". Lineage: Eukaryota; Viridiplantae; Streptophyta; Magnoliopsida; Poales; Poaceae. The record is from Rfam by way of RNAcentral.